RNAcentral lists this ribosomal RNA (403 nucleotides) under uncultured bacterium. RNAcentral's name for it is "bacterial SSU rRNA". It matches the Rfam family "Bacterial small subunit ribosomal RNA", at positions 28 to 418 of the family's 1533-position model. The record is from RNAcentral.
GAUGAGCGCUGGCGGCGUGCUUAACACAUGCAAGUCGAACGGAGAUCAUUUUAAUGAGGCUUCGGCGGAUUUGAUCUGAUCUUAGUGGCGGACGGGUGAGUAACGCGUGGGUAACCUGCCUUAUACAGGGGGAUAACAGCCGGAAACGGCUGCUAAUACCGCAUAAGCGCACAGAGGCGCGUGCUUCAGUGUGAAAAACUCCGGUGGUAUAAGAUGGACCCGCGUUGGAUUAGCUAGUUGGCAGGGCAGCGCUACAAGGCGACGAUCCAUGGCCGGCCUGAGAGGGUGACGGCCACAUUGGGACUGAGCACGGGCCCAGACUCCUACGGGAGGCAGCAGUGGGGAAUAUUGCACAAUGGGGGAAACCCUGAUGCAGCGACACCGCGUGAAGGAAGAAGUAUCU